GUGCUCCUCUGGAAGCCCUCUGACUACCAGCCGCUUGUCUCUUCUUCUGCAGUUGAGAAAUAGACGGUCCACAGCAGACAACUUAGAAUGGAAUAAGGGAGAUGUGUUUGAGGCACUACCAUUGGAAGAUGUGCUGGGGAGAAGCCCAGCCCAGCAACAUGCGGCAGGACCACAUCUCGGCAGAGCUGAAGACAGAGACGUUGCAGCCACAAGGACAACUGGCAUGCCUCACAUUCCUCAGUGUUGAAAACAAUAAAAGGAGGGGGAAUGAGAGAAAAAUCAAAUUUCUACGAAGAGAUGUCAGCAGUAAAUUUAAUGCAGCUGCCACAAGCAGAGUGAAUGCAGAGCCAUCAAGAGCCAAGUUCUACAAGAGAUAAAUCAGCUGAGACUACCACUAGACAUCUGCAAGCAGAAGAUUAGGAGAGUAAAUUGGCUGAGACGCAUAUGCAUAUGACCCAGAAACCAAGUUGCGUGAAACUAUCAUGGUUUGUGCCUCGAUAGGUUCAACAAGGACAUGGUGAGAAGAUAGCCAUUUGCAAGCCAGAAAGAGCCGUCACCAGAACG
Molecule: long non-coding RNA, 564 nt
Filed under: Pan troglodytes (chimpanzee)
Lineage: Eukaryota; Metazoa; Chordata; Mammalia; Primates; Hominidae
Description: lincRNA
Source: RNAcentral